UACGUAGGGUGCAAGCGUUAUCCGGAAUUACUGGGCGUAAAGAGCUUGUAGGCGGUUUGUCGCGUCUGCUGUGAAAACUGGAGGCUCAACCUCCAGCCUGCAGUGGGUACGGUCAGACUAGAGUGCGGUAGGGGAGAUUGGAAUUCCUGGUGUAGCGGUGAAAUGCGCAGAUAUCAGGAGGAACACCGAUGGCGAAGGCAGGUCUCUGGGCCACUACUGACGCUGAGAAGCGAAAGCGUGGGGAGCGAACAGG
Molecule: ribosomal RNA, 253 nt
Filed under: uncultured bacterium
Lineage: Bacteria
Description: partial 16S ribosomal RNA
Rfam family: Bacterial small subunit ribosomal RNA
Source: RNAcentral